AUUGAACGCCGGCGGAAUGCUUUACAUAUGCAAGUCGAACGAUGAACCUUAGCUUGCUAAGGGGAUUAGUGGCGAACGGGUGAGUAAUAUAUCGGAACGUGCCUUGUAAUGGGGGAUAACUAGUCGAAAGAUUAGCUAAUACCGCAUACGCCCUGAGGGGGAAAGUAGGGGAUCUUCGGACCUUACGUUAUAAGAGCGGCCGAUAUCUGAUUAGCUAGUUGGUGGGGUAAUGGCCUACCAAGGCGACGAUCAGUAGCUGGUCUGAGAGGACGACCAGCCACACUGGAACUGAGACACGGUCCAGACUCCUACGGGAGGCAGCAGUGGGGAAUUUUGGACAAUGGGCGCAAGCCUGAUCCAGCCAUGCCGCGUGAGUGAAGAAGGCCUUCGGGUUGUAAAGCUCUUUCGCAAGGGAAGAAAACUUACCAUCGAAUAAAUGGUGAGGCUGACGGUACCUUGAUAAGAAGCACCGGCUAGGUACGUG
RNAcentral lists this ribosomal RNA (484 nucleotides) under uncultured bacterium. RNAcentral's name for it is "partial 16S ribosomal RNA". It matches the Rfam family "Bacterial small subunit ribosomal RNA", at positions 30 to 507 of the family's 1533-position model. The record is from RNAcentral.